This is a long non-coding RNA of Carassius gibelio (silver crucian carp), 1313 nucleotides long. RefSeq lists it as uncharacterized. The transcript has 3 exons. Lineage: Eukaryota; Metazoa; Chordata; Actinopteri; Cypriniformes; Cyprinidae. The record is from RefSeq and is a predicted model, not a curated record.
UGACUAAGGAACGAGUCAAAAGCCCAACAGACCCGAACUAUGAACUAAUCAAUACUCUUUCAGGCUCAUACUGCAUAGGUUUAUCGUAUGGGGCUGUCACGUGAUUAAGGAACGAGUCAAAAAUCCCGAUAGACCCGAACAAUGAACUAAUCAAUACUCUUUCAGGCUCAUACUGCAUUGGUUAAGCGUAUGGGUCUGUCACGUGACUAAGGAACGAGUCAAAAGCCCGAUAGACCCGAACUAUGAACUAAUCAAUACUCUUUCCGGCUCAGACUGCAUUGGUUAUGCUUAUGGGUCUGUCACAUGUUUAAGGAACGAUUCAAAAACCUGAUAGACCCGAACUAUGAGCUAAUCCAUUCUAUUUCCGGCUCAGACUGCAUAGGUUUAGCGUAUGGGGCUGUCACGUGAUUAAGCAACGACUCAAAAACCCGAUAGACCCGAGCUAUGGACUAAUCAAUACUCUUUCCGGCUCAUACUGCAUUGGUUAAGCGUAUGGGUCUUUCACGUGAUUAAGGAACGAGUCAAAAGCCUGAUAGACCCUAACUAUGAACUAAUCAAUUCUCUCUUCAGCUCAGACUGCAUUGGUUAUGCAUAUGGCUCUGUCACGUGACUAAGGAACGAGUCAAAAACCUGAUAGUCCCGAACUAUGAACUAAUCAAUACUCUUUCAGGCUCAUUCUGCAUUGGUUAAGCGUAUGGGUCUGUCACGUGACAAAGGAAUGAGUCAAAAGCCCGAUAGACCCGAACUAUGAACUAAUCAAUACUCUUUCAGGCUCAUACUGCAUUGGUUAAGCAUAUGGGUCUGUCACGUGAUUAAGGAAAGAGUCAAAAGCCCAAUAGACCAGAACUAUGAACUAAUCAAUGCUCUUUCCAGCUCAGACUGAAUAACUAAUCAAUACUCUUUCAGGCUCAUACUGCAUUGGUUAAGCAUAUGGGUCUGUCACUUGAUUAAGGAAAGAGUCAAAAGCCCGAUAGACCCGAACUAUGAACUAAUCAAUGCUCUUUCCAGCUCAGACUGCAUAGGUUUAGCGUAUGGGGCUGUCACGUGAAUAAGGAACGAGUCAAAACCCAACAGACCCGAACUAUGAACUAAUCAAUACUCUUUCAGGCUCAUACUGCAUUGGUUUAUCGUAUGGGGCUGUCACGUGAUUAAGGAACGAGUCAAAAAACCCGAUAGACCCGAACAAUGAACUAAUCAAUACUCUUUCCGGCUCAGACUGCAUUGGUUAAGCGUAUGGGUCUGUCACGUAACUAAGGAACGUGUCAAAAACCCGACAGACCUGAACUAUGAACUAAUCAAUUCUCUCUUCAGCU